AAGGAUUUAAGUUACGCAAACUAGUAGCCUUCAAAGCUGAAAACAGGAGAAUUUUUCUAAGCCUUA
Molecule: transfer RNA, 66 nt
Filed under: Aegosoma sinicum
Lineage: Eukaryota; Metazoa; Arthropoda; Insecta; Coleoptera; Cerambycidae
Description: tRNA-Trp
Source: RNAcentral